UACGUAGGGUGCGAGCGUUGUCCGGAAUUAUUGGGCGUAAAGGGCUCGUAGGCGGUCUGUCGCGUCGAAAGUGAAAACCCAGGGCUUAACCCUGGGCCUGCUUCCGAUACGGGCAGACUAGAGGUAUGCAGGGGAGAACGGAAUUCCUGGUGUAGCGGUGAAAUGCGCAGAUAUCAGGAGGAACACCGGUGGCGAAGGCGGAUCUCUGGGCCUUACCUGACGCUGAGGAGCGAAAGCAUGGGGAGCAAACAGG
This 253-nucleotide ribosomal RNA is filed under the name uncultured bacterium. Its description in RNAcentral is "partial 16S ribosomal RNA". It matches the Rfam family "Bacterial small subunit ribosomal RNA", at positions 524 to 776 of the family's 1533-position model. The record is from RNAcentral.